GGGAAGGUGGCUCAGUGGUAGAGUGCUUGCCUUGCAUGCAUGAGGCCCUAGGUUUGAUUCCUCAUUACCA
RNAcentral lists this transfer RNA (70 nucleotides) under Dipodomys ordii (Ord's kangaroo rat). It matches the Rfam family "tRNA". From Rfam's summary of the family: Transfer RNA (tRNA) molecules are approximately 80 nucleotides in length. Their secondary structure includes four short double-helical elements and three loops (D, anti-codon, and T loops). Lineage: Eukaryota; Metazoa; Chordata; Mammalia; Rodentia; Heteromyidae. The record is from Rfam by way of RNAcentral.